RNAcentral lists this ribosomal RNA (473 nucleotides) under uncultured bacterium. Its description in RNAcentral is "bacterial SSU rRNA". It matches the Rfam family "Bacterial small subunit ribosomal RNA", at positions 355 to 825 of the family's 1533-position model. The record is from RNAcentral.
UCGGGAAUUUUGGGCAAUGGGCGCAAGCCUGAUCCAGCCAUGCCGCGUGAGUGAAGAAGGCCUUCGGGUUGUAAAGCUCUUUCGGCGGGGACGAAAUGGUUCGUGCCAAUACCACGGACUGAUGACGGUACCUGAAGAAGAAGCACCGGCUAACUACGUGCCAGCAGCCGCGGUAAUACGUAGGGUGCAGGCGUUAAUCGGAAUUACUGGGCGUAAAGCGUGCGCAGGCGGUUUGUUAAGACAGAUGUGAAAUCCCCGGGCUUAACCUGGGAACUGCGUUUGUAACUGGCAGACUGGAGUGUGGCAGAGGGGGGUGGAAUUCCAAGUGUAGCAGUGAAAUGCGUAGAUAUUUGGAGGAACACCGAUGGCGAAGGCAGCCCCCUGGGCUAACACUGACGCUCAUGCACGAAAGCGUGGGGAGCGAAACAGGAUUAGAUACCCAGGUAGUCCCUGAGCGGGCUGGCAAGGCGCAU